AUCGGUCCUCGGUGGUGGCCCCCGGGCCCGCCCCUCCGCGCGAGGGGGUUCCCGUGGGCCUCGAUCGAAGACCGGU
Molecule: non-coding RNA, 76 nt
Organism: Geodermatophilus pulveris
Lineage: Bacteria; Bacillati; Actinomycetota; Actinomycetes; Geodermatophilales; Geodermatophilaceae
Source: Rfam